CAGCUCUCUUUAGAGCCUUUAGGUACUGGAGGGUGCUCCACGGUCUCUCUGCAGCCUUCCCCUCUCCAAGCUGAGCAGCUCCAGUGAGGGGGUGCUGGUUGUGUACAGGACACCAUGGACUAGAUGUUCCCUCCACUCCUGCCCCAGGACUCACCUCGCAGCUGGCACCAGCCACUGCUACGUUUGCCCAGCAGAUGUGUCCAGGGCAGACGUGUUCCCAUCUCCAGAGGCAGCAGAACCACUGGCACUUCCAGCAUGGACAUUUUGAUUCCUCUGUGGCCACAGCCCUGCUCACAUACUCCUGCAGGAGUCAACAGCUCCAGAGCUCACAGAGAACUCCUUCUCUGACCUCCUCCUUCUCACACGGCUGGGAAAAGAAAACCAGCCUGUCAUGGCAGUGAGAAACCUUGGCCUUGCUACCUGAGGAAAGUCUGUAAAAGGUUUGCAUCGAGUGUUUUCUCCUUCUUUAGCUGCUCAAUCCAGAUGACAAAACCUCAAAUUAUCAGUUUCUCACAUUGUGGAUCCUAGAUGCUAGAAGGUCUGUACACAGAACUGAGCAUUUUCCUAUAAAAACCCCUUAACUUACAUUUUGCCUGCUUGGUCCAGUAAUCAGCAAAUUUGUUUUCAGGUUUACACUCAGGUAUUCUGCAGGAUAAUGCUGUUUGCUGUUCUUCCACGGGUUCUGCCCCUCUGUUAAACACAGUGAUGGGGAGAACUCUUUGCUGUGAGAUGAGGAGCUACAAAGCCACGGGGGCAAAGUAAAAUCGGAAUUGCUCAGGUGUUGUGGGGAGAAAGAGAAGCAGCUGGAGCAAGGGAAAGCUGUAGUUCCAAAACCACACCUCUGAGCUGCUGGAUGUCAUCCAGGGGGUGUCCUCUGGGGAACAGGGAUACAAAUAAGCAGUGCCCAAGGCAGACACACCUGGGCAGUGCAUCCAGGGAGCUCGGGUCUGAAAUGAGCUUUCCCAAACGGUUAUCUGCUGUCUCAAGCUGCAUUUCCUCUGCCCUCCAGCUACAGGAGAUAGGAGCUAAAGGAGCAUAAUGGACUGCGAAGGAACCGCUGAAGCUGACUCCUGCAGUUUCUAACACAGUCUCCGUUGGGCUCAAACAGUGUUUUACAGCUUUUGGUGCUCAGGUAAUACCUGCCAAGUCGGUAACGUUCUCCUUUCACUGCUGAGAAAGAGCAAUUAAACUGCUGGCCCCAGUUCAGAGAGAUCUGUGCUUUUCUGUGGUUUCCCACUUGAAAAGUAUUUCCUAUGGCACAGCUACCACAGCACCUGUGGCAUCACAGGUAGCUUUGUGGAAGCACCCUUGUGCAUCUUUUCCAGUUAAUAAACAACGAGCUCAGUCUUAGAUGUGAAUAAAUCUGUAAAGUAAAG
This is a long non-coding RNA of Catharus ustulatus (Swainson's thrush), 1376 nucleotides long. RefSeq lists it as uncharacterized. The record is from RefSeq and is a predicted model, not a curated record. The transcript is spliced from 3 exons. Lineage: Eukaryota; Metazoa; Chordata; Aves; Passeriformes; Turdidae.